AAGAGUGCGAAUUAUCGAAUAUGUCUUCUUAAUCAAUUGCUACUUUGCUACUCGUUCUAAACCCUCACUUCCGCGAAGGAAAACAAACCGAUCGCCGAUACGAUUCCAAUGCAUAUCCAACAGCUACAUCUCAAGGCCGAAGAACUACAAUCUCGACCUUCCAGGUAUUCUUCCGUGAAUCGAAAUCACAUAAAUUUUCGGAAGUAAAGUGUCCAUCAUUUACUUGAUCUGUUACACAACACAUCGAUCUACAUUGUUUGAGAUAAUUUCUUAUAAUUACAACAUAACAUUUUAUAUCUUAAUAUACUGCAAGUCAUUGUAAGCCACUAAUCUCGAUUUUGCUUUGAACCGAAAAAAUCAAUUUUUGGUCCUUAAUUCAUUUUGAUUCAUGGUUUAUAACUCCUAAAUCUCAUUGACCCUAUAAAUGUUACUUAUCGAUACCAAAUUCAACCACAGCAGGCAUGACAAACUCCAGUGAAGCUUGAUAUCUGUCACAGAGAAACUAGAGUCAGGUCUACCCAUGGGAAGUACUAUCUUACAGGUAAAUGUCAAUAUUCUGAUCAUCAAUUAAUUGACUAUUAUCUUUGCUGAAUUUUUUGAGAUUCAUUGGUCUUCUAGCAUCCUGAUAAAGGUAGUAGGGAGCAUACUAGGUAACUUUUUAGUUUAUUUUUAUAUGUGAAUAAAAAGUAAGCUGAAUAGAAGUCUAGAAUAUAUAACUUUUAGUGUCAAAUAUAUGCCAUUCAAGUAUUCAACCAUGUGGUAGUCAUUAUUGGAAUCUAAAAAAGCUGUUACUUCCCUUUUUGGAUGCUCCUCAAGUCCAUAUAGGCCAGUGAUGUUUUGUCAGUAGAUAUGUCGAUAUUGCACUUAUGGUGCAUACUGUCUCCUUGAUUCCAGCCCUAGAGUUUUAACUGGAGUUUCAUCAAAAUCAUAAUGAAAUUUCCUGCAGUAAAUAGUAAUCUACUAUUCAAUCAAAGACAUAAAGUUCAUAUAAAGGUUUCCAUUUCACCAACAUUAUGUGGUUCAACUUCUCAAUCAUUAUUACUAUAAAGAUUCCAAUUCCACCUAUUUUUUGUUCAAGUUUUUCUUUUUUUCAGUGACAACUUUUUAAAGAUAACACACUAAUUAAUAUGCAAAUGACUAUAGAAUUAUGAUCCUUUUGGAAUUUCGAAAAUAGUACCAGUGAUGAAGCUCAAUUGUCUAUCCAUAAACUCAUGAAACUUGAUUCCAAUCCUUGUUAACUUGUAUAAAUGACUGAAAUACCCUUUCGAAACCUAUUAUUAACACUGCACUAUGCUGGUUUCUUUGUUUUCUGUUGUUAAAUUUAUCUUUUUACCUAAAGAUAGUCUUAAUUCUUAAAGAAGUUUCAUGAACAAGAAAUUAAUAAAAGGAUAAUUUAAAUACUUUGAGAAGUACUUAAAAAAGCUUCUUGAUCGAGAAAUCAAUUACAUUCUAAAUCAUUUGAUAGAUUUAGAAGCCAAACAAAAAUCUACAAAGUAUGAAAAUUUCACUCUAGAUUGUGUUACAAAUGUCAUUCAAGUCAUGAUAUAAGUCAUUAGAAAAGAGUAAAGGGAAAGAUUCCAAGUGGAGAGGCAUUUUGGCAUUUAAUGAAAUAAAUUCCACUAUUUUCAUGAUAAUGCCAAGUCACCCUUGACAAUGAACUUUAUAAGUAUCUUAUAGUUGUUGAUAUAGUCCAAUAAUACAUUAUAUCAUCAUGAUUUUAUAAUUUGAUUGGAAGAACAAAUGUGGAAUCUAUUUUGAUCCCAUGUGAUUAUUAUACUUUCCCUUACUUCAUAGCUUUAAACAUAUUAAAAUUAGUUUUGAACUAUUUUAAGUAUGUUUUAUUGUGUAAAAACACUCCUACAAGCCUACAAUAACAUGAACAAUAUCCUAAUAAGAAAAAGAAUUAAAGAUUGGAGAUUUCUCAAAGUAAAAUGCUUUAAUAAGAAAAAAAAAAUUGAAAAUACAAUGUUGUAAUUGUGACUUUGACUUUGACUUUUGGAGUAAAAAGGCUAUAUUUAGCUUGUUGAUUGAUUUAUAUAUUUAUUUUACAAAUUUACAAAGAGUCAAAGAACUUAAUAACUACAUUACACAAUAUAAACAACACUAUGUCAGAAAGAAAAAGAUUUUCUUAUAACUUUAAGAUAAUUUACAUCAAUUUAGAAUCAAUUAAGUGGCUUUUUGACUUUAGUAUUCGAAUCAAUAACCACUUAAUCUCAAAGAAUGAACUUUGACUCUUCCAAGAAACUUUGUUGACCCGAAUUCCCAAUUUUCCACUUCUUGCAUCCCCAAAAAAGUAAAAAAAAAAAAGAAAAUCCAAGUCAACUCCCGUGAUAAUUCGAGUCAAUGAUAUGGAGGUCAUGAUUUCUUUUUUUGUUUUUUGUUUUUUCAUUUUAAAAUUCCUCCACUACCACACGUUGCUUUGAAAGGUCAUUUUCGACUUUUCAAAAUAAUUAUGAUUUAUAUUUUUGGUCAUAAGUCGAAUAUACCCUUUUGAAAAAUUCUGUGGCCAGGAGCAAGGAUUGCUAAUGGGUCAUAAGCCAUUUUCCUCCGUUGAAAAGUCUCCCAUGUUUGACCAAAGUGGGCCCUCCACUCAUCUUGUGUGUGAAAAUGUGGUAAAUAUUGUUUGACUCCUAAGUGGGCUUCUUUGCAGAAAUCCAAGAUUUUUUUAUUCUGACUCAGUAAGUGUUGUAGACUAUCUUUUCCUUUGGUGGAUAAAGGAUUUGCUUGUGAUAGAAAUGCCACUAAGUAGAAUAUAUCUUCAUCUGGUAUUACUGCUGAACUCCUGUUGUUCCAUCUAAAAAAAAAAGUUUACAUAAGUUUCACUUCACCCCCCUGUAGACUUUUUCCUUUGCAAAACUACCCCCUCCGCUUCACUAAAUGUUUUUUGUAAGGAAUUGAAUCUCUCAACUCGUGAAAUUAGUUUAGAAAAAUUAAUAGUUUUACAUUUUUAUUUAUUGUAAACCUCAAAUUUAUUUUUUUGACUGAAAAAGACCUUGUAUAUUUUUAUUUUUUCCGAAAAAACCCUCAACUUUGUAUUUUUCUUGAAAAAAACCCUCAACCUUCUAAAUGCUUCUAAAUAAACCUUCGGCUUUUUUGGUUUUUCUUGAAAAGACUCACGUUUUACAAUUUAUUUUGGAAAAAAAUGUCUAUAAGGGCCAAAUUGGAAAAAAAUAAAAAAAAUACAAGGUCUUUUUUAUAGGAAAAAAAUAAAUUUGAGGUUUAAUCCGGGAAAAACAUAAAAUGUAAGGUCUUUUAUGAGAUUAACCCUUUUAUCUAUUGUAAUUAUAUAUAACUGAAUUUUUGUUGUUAUUUAUUUCAGUAUAUAGUAUAGGGUUAAUCUUAUAAAAGACUUUAUAUUUUGUGUUUUUUCCGGAUUAAACCUCAAGUUUAUUUUAUUUUUUUCCUGAAAAAGACCUUAGAUUUUUUCAUUUUUUCCGAUCUAGUCCUUUUAGUCAUUUUUUUUUUCAAAAAGGUUGAGGGUUUUUGCGGGAAAAACUAAAAAUGUUGAGGGUUUAUUCGGAAACAGUUAGAAGGUUGAGGGUUUUUUUCGGAAAAAAAAAGACAAAGUUGAGGGUUUUUUCUGGAAAAAAUGAAAAAACACAAGGUCCUUUUCAGGAAAAAAAAAGACAAAGUUGAGGGUUUUUUUUUGGAAAAAAUGAAAAAACAUAAGGUCUUUUACGAGAUUAACCCUAUAUUACAAGGGUAUUCUUGUCUUUCAAUAAAAAAAAUUGAAUCUCACAUUCCAAUUCCUUCAUAUUCCGUUAAAAUACGUAAACAAAUGAUGAAUGUAAUGUAUAUAAUAACUAACAAUAAUAACCCAGUUCCAUGCAUUCAACAUUCAUCAUUGUGUAAUUUUAUAAAGUAGAGGGGUUGAUUUGCCAAUCUGAAAUAGUACAAGGGCUAAAAAAAUUUACUUUGAUUUGUUGACUGGGUAAACAAGGACAGGCCCAUUGCUUGUAUCUGCUAAAAUCUUCCCAAAAACUUCAUCACCAAAUCUCUGAAUUUUACUACUUGGAACAAGAAGAUUUAGCCAUGGAUGUGGAACAUCCCAUAACCCUUUCGCUUGUAGUUUUAUCUCUGCUGUAUGUACUCUAUCCAAAAACUCUAUAUACGUAACUUCAGUCAUAAAAACAGUUGAUGGAAUAUACCUCAACUCAGAUAACAUGCUCUCAAUUUCCUGUUAUCAAUUUAAAAUCACUAACACUUUAAUAAAUCAAAAAUCAAAACUGGUUUGUAUUUCGUUCACAUUUAUCUCACCUCAUAAAUCUCACCAGUGUUAUCUGAUGGAUUGAAGUAUUUCGCCAAUUCAAGGCAAAAAAGGGUUUUUCCUUCCGACUUAAAUUGACUUGCUUCAUCAUCAUCUUUUGGGUUAAAAGAUGAUCUCCAAUUAUUGAGAAGACCUGUUCUGUUUAUAAUUACAAGUCCUUCUAUGUAAUCGAAUGAUUUUUUUGCUGAUAUUAAUCGCUCUUGAUCUCGAGUAAAUGUCGAAAAAUCUGAAUACAACACUCUGAUCCAUUUCACCUGUUUAUAUUGGAUUCAAUUAUUAGGUUAAAAAAAUUAGUUUCUAAAUCAAACCACAAAAUUGCUCAAAUAUAAUUCAAAUAUUCGGUAAACUUUUAGAUUUUGAAAAUUUCAAGGCGAAUUUAAAAUAAAAAAUUAAAAAAAAAAAACGUAACGUACUUUUGCGGUUUAACCACUUUUACUUUAUUUUUUCUGAUUAAACCAUACAAAAGUUUCCAACGUUUUUCCAAAUUAAUCAUUUUGACCAAAUAUAGGUCUCACUAUAAUUAACAAAAAGUAACCAUUUUGACCUGUUAUAUCAUAUAUGACUAUAUCAAGUCAAAACAGUUAUGUACGAAACCUUUAUCAUCAAUUAAAAAAAAAAAACUAUGUAUAAAUCCUUAAACCACAAACCCCCCCUUUUUUAUUUUCCCAUUUUUUUUAAUUACAUCAAAAAAUAAACAAAUUACCAUUUCCGCUGCCGGUUCAAGUAAAAUCCUUGCCCGUGUAAUUAUCCCAAACUGCCCAAGCCCUCCAAGAACACCAUUAAAAAGAUCCGCAUUCUUUUCUUCUGAACACGUCACCACCUCUCCCUUUCCUUCAUCAUAUUACAUAAUUACUCAUUACAUUUUCUAAUUUUUAUAACAAAAAAAAAAUUAUUUUUAUAUUUUAUACAAACCUGUAACAACUUCAAGUUGUUGGACAUUACUAAUCUGAGGACCAUGCCGAAACGCCUGACCACUAAUCCCCGCAUUCGACAACGUCCCUCCAACCGUCAAAUGCAAAUAAUCAGUCCAAGAUUUUGGCGCGAAUCCAAACUUCAAACUCUCCUUCAAAAUAUUAAUCCACAACUCCCCUCCCGAAACAUCAACAUAUCCAAAAUCAAAACCAAAUUCAAAUUCCAUUUUCGGUUUCUUCAACGACUCCAUAUUCACCACAAUCCCUCUGUGCGCCUGAGCCUGACCCUGAAUCGAGUGUCCGUGCCCCCUGGCUGCAACCGUGAGCCCAGACCCAACCCCGAGGUCCCACACAUGGCUCACGGUUGCAGAUAUGUCAGACACUGACUCAGGGUGCAGGACUGCAAAAGGAAGGAAUUGAAAUUGGUUUCCGUAAUCUUUCGCCGCGAAUUCGUUGUCGGUGAAAGUGAAAUGCCCGUCGAUACGUAAAUCCGGGAGUGAAAAUUGGGUGUUGGAAAAACAGAGGUUUAGUUGGAUUGCUAAGAAACUUAGCAACAUGAUUGUGAAACUAAUGCUUCUUAUGAAGAAUGAUAAAGAUCUCAUUCUUUUUUUUUUUCUGGCUAGAAAUAAAGAAAAGAGGAGGGGAUUUAAAGAGAUUUGAUAAGGAUCCGUGUGUAGACUGUCUCCUUUAAAAGUUUCUGACUCCCAAGGGGGUGCCUUUUUAGCUUCCUUUUUCAUGGAAAAAGUCACAAGAAAAAAGAAAGAUUUUGCAAUCUUUGCACUUAUUUGGUUACAGUUACAACCAUAUUUUUAACUUCCUUUUUACUAUCUAUUUGCCAAUUUUUAGGAAAAAGAUACAUUCUUACAUAGUUACAGGUGUCUAAAGAUUAGUCGCGGUUUAGUUUUAGUUUUGAUUUGCUGGAAUUAAAAUGGCAGUGUGGGGUCCACGAAAUCAUGCGAAUUUCAAUAAAGUUUUUGGGACCUCUUUCAACCAAUGGUGUAUGGACAAUUGAAGUGAUGACAGGUCAUUAGAAGACAUAGAUAUCUGUUGCCCAUAAUCACCCAUAUGCUUUAGUUUUAAUCCAAGUAAGAAAGUUACAUCCUUUUUUAGCAUCUUACUUUUAUAUAUUUUAACAUGCUUCAAUUUACUUGUAUAAAAUAUUGCUAUUUUACUUUUCAUAAUACAAUACAUUUUUUGGUUCUUAAGUAUAGUUGAGUUCGAAAAUUUGGUCCCAAAAAGUUUUCUCUUGCAAUUAUGGUCACAAAAAGAUAGUAGUUUUACCUUGAACAGGGACCAAAAAUGUUACAAGAACCUCAAAUAAGCACCAAAAUGUCAAAAAGAAAAGUUUUAUGGACUAAAAUUGAAAAAAACUCAAUUAUAAAAAAUGUUAUUACUAUGUUUUCUUAUUAAAUGGGUGAAGUGUUUAAUGUUCAAUGCUUAAGAGAAAUGAAAGCAAGAAGCUAUAAAAUUUAAGAAAGUACGUUGCUAUUCCUUGGCUUUAAUUCAUUUAAAAUUGUAAAAAUAAAAUGGUGAAGUUUGGGGUGUAGUGCUUUGAAUGAUGUUGUGACAUAUAUGUGUUUUUUUAUGGAAUAUUUAAUGCUCAAAGUUGUCCAUUGGAUGCUAAGAUCCAUAUCUUGUCCCUCCUUACCACAACACACUUGACCCUUUUUCCUUUGUGGGCUAUGUUGUGUGAAAUCUCAACCAUCAAACCCUACUCCCAUUUUGUGGUCCAAAACCUAAUUUGACCUAAUUCUCUACAUACUCACCGACCAUUGACAAAAUCAAAACAAAAAUAAAUAAAUAUCUGCAGUCUGCAAUGUGAGAGUUUCAGUUCCAAUUAAUUCGCCUCCUUACAGACACUAGGGGGUUACUGUGUACCUGAUUGUAAACCGAAGAAUAAUUUUUUUGUGGAAUUUAGGAUGAUGUGAUGAAUGUACAAGUGUUGAUGCAUAGGGUACAAGUGGAGUAGUGAGGAGUAAGGACAUAUCUUUGUGAAUGAUAAGGGGGACAAGUGGGGUGAGAUUGUAUGCCACUAUGAAAGAUGAGAUUGGCUAGGUGCCCACUAAUGGGGUCCUCUAGAAGUUGGUGAUAAUAACCAUUAACCAUAGAUGCUAAAGAAAAAGAGUUGGUAGGAUUUAGACUGAUUUAGGAUUUUGCUAAUUAAGAUUACUAGUAAUCAUGGAUGUUUUAUCUAAUCAUGUUACAUGUCUAACUUUCAAUUCAUUCUACUUGAUGUUGUUUUGUCUGAUUCACACUCCAUCAAAAUCUAAUUUGAUUUUGAUAUCAUCUCUCCAUUCAUGUCUCACAUAUCACACAUUGUACUUGGACACAAAAAUAAAUCCAUCUCUACCAAAUCUUCACUUGUCUGUAACAGUCUAUUUAUUUCGUUAUUCCUAUUGUUACAACUUAUUCAUAAAUAAUGUUGAUUUUGACUAAUAAAGUUAUAGGGUAUUAUUUUAAGAUGAUUUUGUUGCUAAUAAUAUAACUGUUGGUUAUCUCAUGUUUAUCUAGAAAUUAUUUUCUUAACUCAUAAACUUUCUUUUCGUAAUUAUUACUUUAUUUUAAUGCAUGUGUAUGUCGUGCAAAUGAUGAAAGAUACCAUCCAUAUUCAACGGUGGCUUUUAUUACCACCGUUUAUUCAUUAACAUCAUUUUUCUUAUUCCCUUAGACCAGACAUAUUCCAACUAGAUCCUCAUCGACCCACAUACAUAUAUAAACACAUACAAAACCAUUAAAAAAUAUAUUUUGUGAUGUUAGUAUAAAAAUAAAGAAUUGAAUUAUUAGUAUAUAACUAUAUAUACAAAUUUUGGUUUAGCUUAAUUAUAUUUGAAAAUGUAACUGAUACCCGAAUCCAAUUGCAUUUUGAGUUGGCCAGUUAUUUAUACGGAUACCCUAAUUACAUAAUUAAGAAAAAUAAUAAUUACAUAACUAAGAAAAAAAGAAGCAACCAAGACACUUUAGCAAAGAAACGUGGGGACUAGAAAGAAGAAGAAAGAGUAAGUGGACAUAUAAAAUGAAUAAAAAAUGGCAACCAAUUUGAUUAAUAGAAGCUUAUGUUUAUAGUCAACAUAUGCCAUCAAAUAGAAACGAAAAUUUUUUAAUAUAUCAACUUGUUUUGUACUUGAAAGAUGUAUGAAAUGAAGCCUUGAAAAGUGAAAACUAUAGUGAAAACCACGAAAUCCCUUAAAAAUGCUAAAAAAAAAACGAAAAUUCUAUAAUUUAUCAUGGAUGCCCACUAAAACUAUUAAAAUGAUAUAAGAAACAUAAUUAAAAUUUUAUAGAAGUUGGUGAUUGGUGAAUGAAAACNNNNAUAUAUAUAUAUAUAUAUAUAUUUUGAAAAAAAAUAUCGGUAUGGAUGUAAAAUUAAUGAAUUUUGAUAUAUGAUAUUACUCUUUUUAUAUAAUGAAAUGUUGAAAGUUAUGUGAUCGAAAUUUGUUCUUGUUUUCUAAGCUUUUUUUUUUUUUUUUUCUCGUUUAAACCUUUUCCGGAAAUAUGCGGGUAGAUGAUGAGAGAGAACCA
Molecule: long non-coding RNA, 8697 nt
Filed under: Lactuca sativa (garden lettuce)
Lineage: Eukaryota; Viridiplantae; Streptophyta; Magnoliopsida; Asterales; Asteraceae
Description: long non-coding RNA (LSAT_LNC000608)
Source: RNAcentral